AUGUUCAUUUACAGAAAUGUUUCACAGGAGCUGAUAUCUCCCAACUGGUGUGUUUCCAUAGAUUAUCUCUGUAUGAAUGUACUUCUUGAAGGAAGGCAAGUGUUUGUCCUUUUUUGUUCCUCAGGUACAGUACGUUAUAUUAAGGGCAAGCGGUCAACACUGGGGGAAGACAAGAAGCAGAAGUACUUCCAGGAGGGAGCUGCAGCUAGGACACGGCUACCUUACACUGAGCUUACAAAGCCGAUGUCAUAAGAAGUUGGAAAAGAACUUCGGGCUGUGUACUGAAAAGUAGAUCAAAGCAGCUCAUGCUCUUUCUGCUUCCAUUUUGAUGGCAAGAAGAAGAAGAAUGCUUCCAAGAAGUGGCGUUCAUGUUCUCAGUGAACAGUGUGCCGAUCAUGGUCACACACCACAUGUGAUUUUAAAAGCAACAUGUCUGUGCCCCGCAACAAUCAAAAAGUUUGAAAUAUGUAUUGUUGUGACAUGUGUAAUAUUAGUGCAUGCUACAAUUUUUUAUUGAACAUUGUUCAGUUCUGUUUUCUACUUUGAUGACCACUUAGACCAAAAAGUGUUGUUUGCAGAUUCUUUCUUUUUAAAUCUAUAAAGCUCCUUUCAUUUUCUUAUUAAAAUUAGUUUGACAUAAAUGUUAGUGUUUCCUUUAUGAUCUUUAACGCUUACACUACACUGUAAACAUUUCUGUUACCUAUUUAUGAGACUGGGCUGCUUGAUUUGGAAGUGGAUGCAAAAUCACAUGGAGCGUGCUAUCGUUUCUUUUUUAAUAUGAUGGACUGAACACAGGAGGUAUCUGCUUUUGACUAGGCAAAGAAUAAUCUGAUCCCAUUUCUACCUGUCUCUACUGUUUGAAGAUUUCACUGAAGUUUGGUCAACUGUAAUUGUCAGGAUAUAUAUUUAUUCCAGCUCUCAUAGGGCAAAGGAAUGACUCGGACUUAUCAAAUGUUCUUUGAUUAGAUACACAAUGUGAAGUUCAUCAUUUUCUUACAAAUAAAACUAUAAUGACAAACAUGAACAGCUGUGCUUAUUUCUGACACAUGAAUGUUUAUAAGAAGAAAACUUUAUUUUCUGAAUGUGUUC
This 1089-nucleotide long non-coding RNA is filed under the name Oreochromis niloticus (Nile tilapia). Its description in RNAcentral is "lncRNA (ENSONIG00000033134.1)". Lineage: Eukaryota; Metazoa; Chordata; Actinopteri; Cichliformes; Cichlidae. The record is from RNAcentral.